Molecule: long non-coding RNA, 1905 nt
Organism: Dama dama (fallow deer)
Lineage: Eukaryota; Metazoa; Chordata; Mammalia; Artiodactyla; Cervidae
Exons: 4
Source: RefSeq, a predicted model, not a curated record
CCCCCUGCUCCUGCACAGCCCUUUUCCAUGACUUGGAGGCAGCCGAUGACUUCACUCCAUCCUCCACUUCUCAGCCUUCGUCCUCCAGCAGCAACACUAUUGCCUGAGUUGGUCCAAAAGGAGGAGAGCCGCCAGGACACCACGCAGUUGGUCCAGCCUCCAGAAGGCAUCCAGGGGAUCUAAGGUGGGGACAUGUGGACAUCUGAAAAGAAGGUGACCUUCAAGAGUGGAAGGGUGGAUUUUUUUCAGUUUCAACCAAAAGAUUCCUGACUAAAGCAGCCUUAUCAUACAUCAAGGCACUGUCUUGUUCCAGCUCUGCCGACUCCUUCAACCUCCUCUGGGCCAGUACCUGCAGCCCCACACUCCUCAUGUUGAUUAUACCUGGUUCCACUUCAUCCAUUACUGUGUGCUCCAAAGAGCAACUGGAAAAGGAGUACGUCAAGGCUGUAUAUUGUCACCCUGCUUAUUUAACUUAUACGCAGAGUACAUCAUACAAAAUGCCAGGCUGGAUGAAGCACAAGUUGGAAUCAAAAUUGCCAGGAGAAAUAUCAAUAGCUUCACAUAUGCAGAUGACACCACCCUUUUGGCAGAAAGCGAGGAGGAACUAAAGAGCCUCUUGAUGAUAGUGAAAGAGGAAAGUGAAAAAGCUGUCUUAAAACUCAACUUUCAAAAAACUAAGAUCAUGGCAUCUGGUCCCAUCACUUCAUGGCGAAUAGAUGGGGAAACAAUGGAAAUAGUGACAGACUUUAUGUUCUUGGGCUCCAAAAUCACUGCAGAUGGUGGCUGCAGCCAUGAAAUUAAAAGACACUUGCUCCUUGGAAGGAGAGCUAUGACCAACCUAGACAGCAUAUUAAAAAGCAGAGACAUUACUUUGCUGACAAAGGUCCAUCUAGUCAAAGCUAUGGUUUUUCCAGUAGUUUUGUGUGGAUGUGGGAGUUGAACCAUUAAGAAAGCUGAGCACCAAAGAAUUGAUGCUUUUAAACUGUGGUACUGGAGAAGAUUUUUGAGAGUCCCUUGGACUGCAAGGAGAUCAAACCAGUCAAUCCUAAAGGAAAUCAGUCCUGAAUAUUCAUUGGAAGGACUGAUAUUGAAGCUCCAAUAUUUUGGCCACCUGAUGUGAAAAACUGACUCAUUUGAGAAGACCCUGAUGCUGGGAAAGAUUGAAGGUGGGAGGAGAAGGGGACGACAGAGCAUGAGAUGGUUGGAUGGCAUCAACGACUCGACAAACAUGAGUUUGAGCAAACUCUGGGAGAUGGUGAUGGACAAGGAAGCCUGGCGUGUUACAGUCCAUGGGGUCACAAAGAGUCAGACACAACUGAGUGACUGAACUGAACUGCACUGGAGCAGGAGCAAGAAACACAACAAAAAUGAUAAAAUGCGUCACCGCUGUCAUGUGAGGAGCCAGGAAUCAAGGCAGGCUCUCCCCACAGGGAACUAGCUUCUUUGUCUCUGCAUCCCCUGUGUUUAAUACAGUUCCUGGCAAAGAGCAAGUCCUCAGGACGUGCUUGUUGAGUUGGUGACAAAAUGCUACGCUUCUGGGAGCAAGUCAAAGGAGAAAACUGUUCACUCUGCUCCAAACAAGUGCAUCUAUUCACUCUGAAAACACAUGACCUUCUGCAGAAAAAAAAAAAUCUUCACAAUUCAUUUUCCAUAGAGCAGCAGAGUGAUCUUUUUUUUUAAGGCUGUGUGUGUGUGCGUGUGUGUGUGUGUGCGCACGCGCGCCAUGCUGCAUGUCUAGUUCCCCUACAAGGCAUCAAAAUCAAACCUGGGCCCACGGCAGUGAAAGCACCAAAUCCUAACCACUCGACCACCAUGGAAUUCCCCAAAGUGAUCUUUUAAUAUUUUAAAUCAGAUCAUGCUACUCCCUGCUUAAAAUCUUUCGUUUCCCACUGCACUUUGAAUAAA